Molecule: long non-coding RNA, 1158 nt
Filed under: Cyanistes caeruleus (blue tit)
Lineage: Eukaryota; Metazoa; Chordata; Aves; Passeriformes; Paridae
Description: lncRNA (ENSCCEG00000007621.1)
Source: RNAcentral
GUUUGCUGUUUGGUGUUUGGUGUUCGGUGUUCGGUGUUUGGUGUUUGCUGUUCGGUGUUUGGUGUUUGGUGUUCGGUGUUCGGUGUUCGGUGUUCGGUGUUUGCUGUUUGCUGUUCGGUGUUUGGUGUUCGGUGUUCGGUGUUUGCUGUUUGGUGUUUGGUGUUUGCUGUUUGGUGUUUGCUGUUUGCUGUUCGGUGUUCGGUGUUCUGUGUUUGCUGUUUGGUGUUCUGUGUUUGCUGUUUGCUGUUCGGUGUUUGCUGUUUGGUGUUCGGUGUUCGGUGUUUGCUGUUUGGUGUUCGCUGUUUGGUGUUUGGUGUUUGCUGUUUGCUGUUUGCUGUUUGGUGUUUGCUGUUUGCUGUUUGCUGUUUGCUGUUUGGUGUUCUGUGUUUGCUGUUUGGUGUUUGCUGUUUGGUGUUGGUGGGACCUGCUGGAGGUCCCCCGUGGUGUGGCAUCCCCAGAGGCCCGGAGCAAUGUGUGCUGUGCCACACGCUGCCGGUACCUCAGGCACAUCCUGGGGGUCCCGUGGGGAGGGCACCUGUGGGUGCCACCGGAGCCUCGGGGAGCUCUUUUCGGGCGCUCAGUGGGGAUGGAUGGACGGGAGUGAAACCUGAGCGUUUUUCAGGCGGCUGUGCCUGUGCUCAGCCUCAGUUCCUGCCUUGUCUGGAGAAGGGGGCUCUGAGCAGGGCCGAGCUCCUGCCAGCAGCCCCAGGCUGGGGGUCCCUCGGGGGGCACUGCAGGGCUGGACUGGGACAGCGAGGAGGGCUGAGCAGAUCCCUGCUGUGGGAUGAGCCCUGGCAGAGCAGUUUCUGCACCAGAGCCAUCUCCCAGGAGCUUCUCCAGCAUCUGCAGGGGAUGCAGCAGGGAGGGCUCUCACUGGUGUGGCAGUGCACCCCAAAGAGCCUUGUGACUGCAGAAACCAUCAGAAACUUCCCAAAAUGUGCGGCUGGACGCUCAGCUGUUGGUGGAAGGGCAGAGGACAGGAUGUCACCUCUAAUGUCACUUGAGUGCGAGGCGGUGGCGGGCAGGCUGCGGUGGGAGGUGUGGCGCUGCUGGGGGACCCUCCCUGGGCUCAGGGCUGCCCGUCUCCUCUCACCUGAACACUGCAGGAUGAAAAGAGACGUCUCAGCUAAUUCCUGCUUCAAAAGGGAUAUGAAAUGA